This 827-nucleotide long non-coding RNA is filed under the name Homo sapiens (human). RNAcentral describes it as "HSALNT0325613". The record is from RNAcentral. Lineage: Eukaryota; Metazoa; Chordata; Mammalia; Primates; Hominidae.
GUGCUGGGAUUACAGGCAUGAGCCACCGCUCCCGGCCCGGCAGGCCCCCUAGAAGAUGCCAAUCAAAAUAAACUGCAUUCUUGAGACACAGGGCAAGAAAUUAAAGCUAUCCACCUCCUCAAGGCCCAGGGACUACGUGGAAGAGACAUCGAGUCAUGAAUAUGGAAUGACUUCACCUGACUUCACUUGAAAUUCACUUAAUUUUCAACUCUGUUGGCUAUGAGAAAAGGACAUCCAGGCCUCACACAAAAAUGGAUCAAUGAAUUGAAACUCACCAAAUCACCACCACCAGACAACGGGAUGCUGAGUCUCAUUCAUCAUGAUUGCUUCCUGAAGCCUUCUGAGUUCCUGUUUCCCUACACAUUGUUACAUUUCUUCCCUGCAACAUAAACCCCCAAUUUUAGUCCAUCAAGGUUAUAGAUUUGAGACUGAUCUCCCAUUUCCUUGGCUGCAACACCCAAUUAUAGCCUUCUUGGCAAUAAUUGUUGUCUCAGUGAUUGGCUUUCUUUGUGGCCAGCAGCAGGACCUAGACUGAACACCUGAUUUUCUGGUCUCUCAAAACAGAAUUUUGGCUUUUCCAGAUUGGCAAAUAGCUCUUAGUUAAAUGUGGCUUUCAAGUAUGUGUUUACUCCUUUAUGUUUCAAUUUUCCUUCAAUUUUGGCCUGGAGAGUGUCUCAACUAAGAAGCUAAAAAGGGAAAGAAAAGAAAAGCAGUUAUGUUUUUUUCCCCUCCGGCCUAUACAAACACAUACACACCAAGGUGAGAAAUGCCUUUCUUCAUCAGUACCAUCUGGGUCAAUAUGUAAUGUUUUGUGUGGCUGAGACCUA